Molecule: long non-coding RNA, 347 nt
Organism: Aphidius gifuensis
Lineage: Eukaryota; Metazoa; Arthropoda; Insecta; Hymenoptera; Braconidae
Exons: 3
Source: RefSeq, a predicted model, not a curated record
AAAUUAUAAAUAUUUAUAUAAUUUAAGUGAUCAAUUAUUAUCAACAAAUAGACUUUAACGCAGUUUUUGAAGAAUCAUUUGUUGUAAUCGUUCAGCUGCGUUAUUGAAAAUCUGUUUAACCAUCAGUGUCGUUGAUUCAACAUCAUUAUCGUCAUCAUCAACGCGGGUUUCAACAGAUUAAUCAUCAUUCUCUAUAAUUGAAUGAUUUCAACGAAGUUAUUGAAAAAUUGUUUGUUGUCAUCAUUCAGUUGUUGAAAAUCUGUUUAACCCUCAGUGCCGUUGAUUCAACACCAACGUCAUCAACAUCAUUAUCACCGCGGGUUAUAACAGAUUAAUCAUCGUCCUCU